This is a long non-coding RNA of Homo sapiens (human), 2862 nucleotides long. Ensembl annotates it as HLA complex group 18. Its record names the gene HCG18. NCBI's taxonomy places the organism in Eukaryota, Metazoa, Chordata, Mammalia, Primates, Hominidae. The record is from Ensembl.
CUCGGCUCACUGCAACCUCCGCAUCAUAGGUUCAAGUGAUUCUUCUGCCUCAGCCUCCCAGUAGCUGGGACUACAGGCACAUGCCACCAUGCCCAGCUAAUUUUUGUAUUUUUAGUAGAGACAGGGUUUCACCACGUUGGCCAGGAUGGUCUCAAUCUCGACCUCGUGAUCUGCCUGCCUCGGCCUUCCAAAGUGCUGGGAUUACAAGCGUGAGCCACCUUGCCCUGCCUCCUGUGGCUGUCUUGUUGAGUCAUUUGUCUCUGCUUUUCUUGUUGCUCUGGUCUCAGUCUUGUGAUUUACUCCUAGAGGUGCUGGCAAGCCUGAGCUCAGAUUUAGGAAUAAUGGGGUUGGGACAGGAGAAGGAUGAGAUAGGGACUAGCAGCUGAUGAAAAGGAAGGGUGGACAUAUUCAUCGUAGGGGUUUCAGGAACUCCAUUAUCUCACACUCAGCCCCUUUGUCAUCUCUGGGAUCAACACAGUGUUAUCAUCGAUCAGCCCCCAGAUUCACUUCAGUGAAUCUGUAAAGAACAAGCAUGUCCUCCUCAUCCCACGAAUUCUGCUGCUUAGAAAGCCACCUGAAAGUGAUAGCCCUUAAAGUCCUCAGUCUGCCCCUUUAGAGCACCACAGAAAGAUCCCUGAAUGGAGAUCCUGACCCUUAAGUAUGGAACUGCUGGGAAGAGCUAUUUGGAGAUUAUCAUUACAUGGAGGAGCUCCCUCUUUGCCCACUAGCAGGGCAUUAGCUGGUGCUGAAGACAGUGGCUGCUUGGCGAGCCUGGAUCUCCAAGUGACCCCCUCAGCAACUCCUGAUGAACAGGACUGAAGCCAAUAUUAAAGCAAGUCAACCAAAGGUUCUCUGGUGUAGACAAGACAGCAAAAGGACAGACUACCUUGUGGAACCUAGCAUUGUUCUCCUUCUGCAGCACUAAGUAACAUUUGUUCUCCGUUAAGAUCUUUGCAAACCACACACAAGAAUUGCUGGUCAUCCUGCCAAUAGAUGCUGCUCACAGAACCAAAUUUCCUGUGCUGAAUUGUCACUCAUGGGCUUGAGAGUAGGAGACUGGAGACCAAGGUGGCUAGAAUCCAGUUGGGCCUGAUGUCUCCCUGUUGAAAGGGCUCCUUGUGGAAUGAAUAGCACAUGGCUCCUGUGGUGGAUCUGAUAGUGGCAUAGCACCAAGUGAUGCAGGCCUGCCAGGGGCCACAGACACAGAAGAUGCUCCCGGGGUCCCCCAUGUACUCCAGACACACUGCAGGCCACCUCUCCCAGCAGGUUGCCAGUCAUGGGCCCCAUCAUCAUGACUUCUGUCCAAGGUGUGCUCGGAAAUCUCUUCCUUAACUGUGACUUUCUGACAGGUGGAGGAUGUGGUCAGGAGUGGGAAAAGGAUUCGAGACGGGAAGAGGGAGGGGUUCAGGAUGAAGAGAGAUAAUCUGUGCCACAGAUGCUGGCCCUGCAGUUAGCUCCCACCUAGUCCGUGCACACACAUUCUAAUCCCCUCCCAUUCCUUUACAUGCUGCGGCCAGAGAGGCCUUUCUCAAAGUGGAAGUCUCAUCCUCACUUCUCUGGUUACAGUGCUGGGCCAUGGUAACUUACAAGGCUUAGCAGGAACUGUCUGCGCACUCCCCCUUCCUGCCCACUACCUUGUUUCCCUCCAGUUGCGAGAGAAAACAUUGAUUGAGCAUUAACUAUGUGCCAGGCUUGUCCUAAGUCCUUUGCAUGUAUUCACUCAAACAAUCCUCACAACAUUCCUAUCACAUCUCCCAUUUCACAGUGAGGGUUCUAAAGCACGUAGUGGGUGAGGAACUUGUCCAGGGUCACACAACUAAGUGGGGGUGGAGAAACAUCAAAUCUAGGUGGUCCAGGUGGUGGCCAGAACCCAUCAGCACCUCACUACAGCUGCCUCCAGUUUCUCGCUCUAGGAAAUACUCUUCCCUGUCAACUCCUGUUGUCCUCUGGGCUCAGUUGACAUGUCAUCUCCUUGAGGAGGACAUCCUGAGAUGCUCCCCGACUAGGGUGGGCACCCACUUCCACACUCCAAAUGCCUAUUUGACCUGUGUAUCGCUGCAUCCCCACUGCCUGGCAGAUAGCAGGCCCCUAAUAAAUAUGAUUUGAGCAAAUAAAUAUAGUUCUUCAAAAAAUAGGGAGGACUUCUUGCUUCAGGUAAUGGUAGGCUAGGACAUUUGGACCAACCCUCCUGCAGAAAAUAGCCAUUUAUUUUGAUGCAAUAUAUCUGGCUAUGACUAGAGAUUUCAAAUAUUUGGAGGGCUAUUAUGUGAAGAACUAAACUUACUCUUUGUGACAUAGAGGUCAGAAAUUGGUCGUUUCCAUAGAGUAUGAGAGAGACAGAAUUGUGCUCAUCAUAAGUAUCUUUUUUAAAAGUUAGACUUAAUAAAAUGGGCUGCCUUGGUAGGUGGUGAGUUCUCUGUCACGAAAGAGAUUCAGCCACUUGCUCUGAGAAAGCAUGGAGAAUAUCAACAUUGUAAGGGUCGACCACCUCAUCUCUGAGGCCCCCUCCUCACUUAGGUUGCCAUUGCAGGUGGAACACUGGGCUGAGUGUCAAAGAACCUGGGUUCCACAAGCUGUGCGACCAUGGCUGGUUGUUUUGGAUCUCAUUCCUAAUAUCUGUUAGUUAAGCUGACCCGUCAAUACUGACCCACUUCACAGAGUUAUGAAGGGAUUAAAUUAGGUAUUACAUGUAAAUCUGUUUUGUUUGCUUUUUGUUGUUCUUUUUUGUUUUGCUUUUUUCUUUGCAUUAUGAAAUCCCAAGUCAACUUUUUCCAUUCUUUUAUUUUUUUAAAAAUUGACAUCAUCAUUAUAACCACAAAAUAAUUUUUAAAAUGGAAAAAAAAAACUCACCUGCAACCCCAC